GAUGAGGAGGGAGCUUCCAUCUUCUCUCUGCUUCUUCAUCCUCUUUUAAGAGCAAUUUAGACGUAGACUUAGAUCAGAUUCCCGAACCUAAUUCAUGAUUAGCUGACUGAAGUGAGGAAAGGAAGAGUCUAUAGUAGUUUUGAUGCUGUUAGGUGGAUAUGAAGUGAAAAGUGUAAUUAUCAUUUUUCCUCUUUUUUUUGGUUUUGUUGCAUUUUUUGCACUCUCACAGGAGGCGUUUUGCUGAUGUCUUUCUCACGCGGAUGCAUUUGAGGCGGGAGGCGAAAAGCAAAUAUUCCGCUUUUAUUCCUAAGCGCACAUCAUGCCUACACGCGUGUGUGUUUUCCCGGAGAAUGGAAGCGCAUGACGGGAUUACUAUAUUCUCGCACUUUUCCCGAUACCCAGGUCAACUAAAUAGAGUCGCUUACGCCGAUCGGGCUAAUUGGAUUUUAUAACAGCCACCUACUCAUCACAAAAUAACAGCAAAUUCGUGUUCAGAGCGCGCGGCCGGGGCUAAGUUGCAUCUUUCUGUGAUGGUAAAAAGGCAGCCGCGAUUCUGGUCAGCGAAAUUUAGCGAGACUGUACCUUUAGACGACCCCGUCUUAGACAAUUUCGCAGACAGAAACUGAGCAACUUCAGCGUUUUUUCUAUAGGAUGUCGCGCCGCAAGCAAGCGAAACCAAGAUCACUGAAAGUAGAAGACAAUGUGACAGAGGACCAGCACAGUCCCGGGCAGACUGCCAUUCCAAGCGAUCCAGAGUGCGCCCUCGAGAGGGCGGCGGAGGAUGGUGAGACCGGGCGUCUGAGGAAGAGGCUGCUCUCUCCAGAGGAAGGAGAGGAGGGAGAGGAGGAGGACGAGGAGCCGGCGCUGCACAGCUGCGACAGCUGCCGGCAGGUGUUCGAGUCGCUGAGCGAUCUCACCGAACACAAGAUUAAUCAAUGCCAGCUGACAGAUGCUGCAGAUCUUGAGGAUGACCCAACGUGUUCUUGGCCAGCAUCAUCUCCAUCCAGUAAGGAUCAGACUUCUCCUGGACACUGUGAGGACUAUGACUUUGGUGAAGAAGAAGGAGGUCCUGGUCUGCCCUACCCGUGCCAGUUCUGCGACAAGUCCUUCAGUCGUUUAAGUUUCCUCAAGCGUCACGAACAGAGCCACGGCGAUAAACUCCCCUUCAGCUGCACCUUUUGCAGCCGCCUGUUUAAGCACAAGCGUAGCCGGGAUCGACACGUGAAGCUCCACACGGGCGAUAAGAAGUACCACUGUGGCGAGUGUGACUCUGCUUUCUCUCGCAGUGAUCACCUCAAAAUCCACAUGAAAACCCACGCCUCCAACAAACCCCACAAGUGCCCCGUGUGCCGCAGAGGCUUCCUCUCCUCUAGCUCCCUCCACGGCCACAUGCAGGUACAUGAAAGGGGCAAAGAUGGCAGCGGCGCAAGCCUUUCUAGAGCUGAUGAAUGGAAGCUGAAAGAAACACGUAAAUGCAGCCGAUGUGAAGAGGGCUUUGAUGUCCCUGAGGAGCUCCAGAGGCACAUCGCAGAGUGCCACCCCGAGUGUUCUCCAUCAGAAGAUGGAGGCCUGGGUGCCACCCUGCAGUGCAUUUACUGCCAUGAGCCCUUCAGUGAUGAGGGCACCCUGCUGACCCACAUCGACCAAGCACAUAGUCGGGACAGAAAGGGCCACACCUGUGCUAUCUGCUCGGAGCACUUUCUGUCUGUUGAAGACCUCUACGCUCACAUGGACAUCCACCAGCUCCCAGAAUCUAGUAACCAUAGUAACAGCCCUUCCUUGCUGACUGUGGGUUAUACAUCUGUCUCCAGCACCACUCCUGACUCCAACCUUUCUGUCGACAGCUCCACAAUGGUAGAGACAGCACCACCUGUGCCCAAGGCAAGAGGCAGGAGGAAGAGGGCUGCUCAGAACGCGUCGGACAUGGGAGGACGCUCAUCUAAGCAACCCAAAGUCUCCUACAGUUGCAUUUACUGUAACAAACAAGUAUUCUCCAGUCUGGCUGUGCUUCAAAUUCACCUGCGAACCAUGCAUCUGGACAAGCCAGAACAGGCUCACACGUGCCAGUUUUGUUUGGAGGUUCUGCCCUCUUUACUAAAUCUAAAUGAACAUCUUAAGCAGGUCCACAAUGCAGAAGACCACGCUGCCCUAUUAGCCAGUUUGCCUGAUGCCCUCCUUCAGUGUAACUUCUGUCCUGAGGUGUUGAGUGACCUCAAUGCCCUCCAGGAACACAUUCGAUGCUCCCAUGGCUUUCCCAGUCCAGUGGCCAAGGAAAGCAAUGCCUUCUUCUGCCCGCAGUGCUUCAUGGGGUUUUUGACAGAGGCUACCUUGGAGGAGCAUGUCCGUCAGACUCACUGUGAUGGGGGAAGCCUGCGCUUUGACUCUCCCCUGGCUGUAACUCCCAAGGAGCCUAUAGUCGAAGUGUAUUCCUGUUCAUACUGCACCAACUCCCCCAUAUUCAACAGUGUUCUGAAGCUCAACAAGCACAUCAAGGAGAAUCACAAAAACAUUCCACUGGCACUGAACUACAUCAACAAUGGUAAGAAAUCCCUGCGCACCCUAAGCCCCUCUUCUCCCAUAUCUGUGGAAACCACCAUGCUAAAACAAGGCGGCUCAGCCUCACGCACUACCAGCGAGUUCAUUUGUAACCAGUGUGGUGCCAAGUACACCAGUCUAGACCUUUUCCAGACUCAUCUCAAAACGCAUCUGGAUGGCCUGCAGCCUCAGCUCACCUGCCCACAGUGCAAUAAAGAGUUCCCCAACCAAGAGUCUUUGCUGAAGCAUGUGACAAUUCACUUCACUAUUACCUCCACUUAUUACAUCUGUGAGAGCUGCGACAAGCAGUUCACUUCAGUGGACGACCUGCAGAAGCACCUACUUGACAUGCAUACCUUUGUGUUCUUCCGUUGCACCCUGUGCCAGGAGGUAUUCGACUCAAAGGUGUCUACUCAGCUCCACCUGGCUGUAAAACACAGCAACGAGAAGAAGGUGUAUCGCUGCACCUCUUGCAAUUGGGACUUCAGACAUGAGACUGACCUGCAGCUCCAUGUCAAACACAGUCAUCUGGAGAACCAGGGUCGUGCUCAUCGCUGCAUUUUCUGCGGCGAGUCCUUUGGCACAGAGGUGGAGCUGCAGUGCCACAUCACCACCCACAGCAAGAAGUAUAACUGUCGCUUCUGCAGUAAGGCCUUCCAUGCCAUCGUCCUUUUGGAGAAGCAUUUGAGGGAGAAACACUGCGUGUUUGAGGGAAAGGCGCAGAACUGCGGUGCCAAUGGUUCUACUGUAAUUGGUGGAGAGGGUCAACCUAAAGACGAUGGUGAGUUACAGGGAGUUCUGACCAACAGUCACGGCCCAGGAGCAGCCGGAGGAACUGUGGUGGAGUCCCAGAACAGCCACGAUGGAAGUGAAGAAGAAGUGGAUACUGCAGAACCCAUGUAUGGCUGUGACAUCUGUGGGGCGUCUUACACAAUGGAGUCGCUCCUCACCAACCACCAGUUGAGGGACCACAAUAUACGCCCCGGUGAGAGUGCCAUGAUAAAGAGGAAAGCUGAGAUGAUCAAGGGCAACCACAAGUGCAAUGUCUGCUCCCGCACAUUCUUCUCUGAGGCCGGGCUGAGGGAGCAUAUGCAGACCCACCUUGGGCCUGUCAAACACUACAUGUGUCCCAUCUGUGGGGAGCGCUUCCCUUCUUUACUCACCCUGACUGAGCACAAGGUCACUCAUAGCAAGAGUCUGGACACAGGCAGCUGCCGCAUUUGUAAGAUGCCAUUACAAAGCGAGGAGGACUUUCUGGAACAUUGCCAGAUGCACCCCGACCUGAGGAACUCCCUGACAGGUUUCCGCUGUGUGGUGUGCAUGCAGACAGUCACCUCCACGUUAGAGCUCAAGAUUCACGGUACCUUCCACAUGCAAAAGACAGGCACCAUGUCCUCAAACCAACCCAGUGGCCGAAGCAAUGCUAUAUCUCACAAUCAGCAGCAUCACCCCCAAAAACUUUUCAAGUGCGCCUCCUGCCUGAAAGAUUUCAGGUCCAAACAAGACCUGGUGAAGCUGGAUAUCAACGGACUGCCUUACGGACUCUGUGCAGCCUGUGUCACAGCUGCUGGCUCCAAGAGCUCCAGCCCAACGGUCAAUGGAGGAAGGCAACAGCAACAGGGUGGAGCUUCCACUCCAGCAACAACUACAGCCACAUGGGUCCAGGGGGAGAGUCUCAGCCCUGGAGAUGGUAAAGGCAAAGCCGUGUCUUCAUCCUCUUCGUCCUCUUCCACAUCUUCAUCCUCUGCAGCCAAGACACGAUGCUCCAGCUGCAACGUCAAAUUUGAGUCUGAAGCAGAGUUGCAAAACCACAUCCAGGCAGUGCAUCGGGAGCAGACUGGGGACAGCAACGGUGGGCAGCUGAAGACCCCCCAGGUAUCCCCCAUGCCCAGAGCCAGUCCUUCACAAACUGAAGAGAAGAAGACCUACCAGUGCAUCAAAUGUCAGAUGGUGUUCUACAGUGAAUGGGACAUCCAGGUCCACGUGGCCAACCACAUGCUGGGCUCACAAGUGUCUGGAUCACAUCACCAAAUAGCGGGAGAGAGACUCAUUGAUCUGGAACCAAACCGCCUCUCUGUUUGGGACACGCUUCUAGGCGCAGGUGAAUUUAAACACGGUGGGCAAUUCUAUCAGGACUGGUAGGCAAUUCUAUCAGGGACCCACUGUUUGUGCAUAAACAAUCAGAAGCAUGUGAUUUGUGAUUUUGAUGCCGCGGUGUAUUUGCAAAGGAGAGAGACGAGCUGAGAGUGUGUAGGUGUGUAUUUUGUAUUCAUCUUUGAGAUCUGCUCACCCACUAUUCUGCUGGGGGAGCCUAAUACAGUACCAUGCCAGCAUUAGUCCUUUCUCUCGCAAAGGCAGGCACGGAGCACACUGGGAGGGUAGAAAACAAACCCCCCUACUGGUUAUUUUAUGUCUUUCAGCCGCACAAGCACACAGUUCCCCCCAUAAUAGUGGAAUUCAGACAGCUUAAGAUAACAGGAGGAUAGGUGAUUGGGUUAUUGUCUGAUGUCUUAUUUCUCUGAUAUGCCAUUGCUUUGUAUUCAACAUGAUCACGGGUUUCAUCAGGCUCCUCAAAGGGUUUCUGUUAGAUGCAUUUGUUUUGUGAUGUGUAAAAUGUUGGCAAAAACAAAACCCGUCGUAAUGAAAAUUUGAUGGAAGACAAAGUUGUCGAGACAUGAUUGCAUUUUAGGUAACAAACAAACAGGAGACUGAAUAGAAUAAGAAAGUAAAGAGAAUAUAUGUAAAAGUAAAGCGAUAUUAGGGGAGAGACGUAUACAUCGACAGCUGUGUUUCUACGGCAGUGUUGAACUCCUGGUCGUACACAGCUUUUAGAGAAUGAAUCCCAUUUAAUGUGGAAUAGUGUCCAGGCUAUAACAACAGCAAAGCCAAUCUUGGCCAAAAGCACAGAGAAAAAACUCAUUUGGAAAAAGCUCUAAAUACCUUCUCUACUGAAAAAAGGGACACUUUCUCCUUUUAAUGGCCAUCUGCACAGGAGAGGGGAAACAGGGGGCUGGGGUCAUCUCCGCUCAGCUGUCAGCGUUAUUAGCGUAGGUAAUGGAGCAGACGCUGGAUUCAUAGGGGUGUUGUUUUCAUCCAUGCCCCGCUCCAUGGUGUCAGUUCACACUGAUAACUCUAUAUAUAGUGAUAUGCCGUGACAUAACCAUAGUGCUAAGUGUAUGGAACAACAAAACCUGAGCCUGUCUCACCCAGACAAGUCCAUAUGAGCUGCGUUUGUAAUACAAUAGUCUACCUAAACCGAGUGCACUCAGCCUCCACCCUCACCUUCUCCCAUCGGGCCUAAGUGCUCAUGGCUGCUGCUUCUUCUGUACGACUGCCAGCACAUUUUGAUGCAUGGAUAUUACGCUCGCAUGAUGGCGGCCCUGGUUCAGACACAAAGCGCAGCUCUGGUGCCUAGCUACUCGACAUUUACUAAGAUAAUGGAGGUAAAUGAAAGGGAAGGAGGUGGCCAUGGGCACAGAAGGGUGUGUAGGACACCAGUCCCAGCCAAGCCUGUGAAAGGCCCCCACGUGUCUUAAGAUGGAGGCCGCAGCCUGCUAGGGCCCAGAUGGAUCAGUACACAUUUGCUGUACAGCUGGUCGCUCUGUUUGGGGACCUGGUGUGAUACUCCUAUGGAGAAAAAAAUGAUAUCGCCACCAUCCAAGGAGCAAUUUAAUAGCAGGCCAGAAGACAGCUGGCCACUCUUUAGUUUAGAGUUUUUUUGGCAUGGCACACUUACAGAAUUGAGGGUGUCCGAUUUUCCUCCAGAGACACACAGAUUUAUACAGCGUUCAGCUGCUGCAGUCACUAUCAAACCCUUUUAUUUCUGUUUUUUUGUUUGCUGUCCAUCAGGUCAAUUUACUGUUUUGAUCUGCAGUAACUGCAUUGGAAAGAGAUUUAAAAUCAAAUGAGCGCUCUCGCAAAGUCUGUAGUGUUUUUGAAAAGGACCUUUGAAGGUCUUUCAUUGACACAAAAGCCUGUUUGGUUUGAUCAGCAUGCCAUCGUGCCACCCUAUUGCUUCACUUUGACCCCACUGUAAACUAUGACAUUUGGAGCCUCGUGGGGGGCACGUUUGGCCCAUUUAUUGCACUGUUUCAAAUGUCCCUGUGUGGAUAUCAAGAGCCCUGACACGUUUUAAAGGACAAUCUCUGUCUUAAAGGGUUUUAAAGGUGAAAAGGAUUUUUUUCUUUCUGUUAUAUCUGCUUUCAAUUCGAUUUCCAUCCCACUCCCGUCCUUCACACGCAGCCGCUGCCAAAGUGACAGCGCUUCGAAGGACAACUGUAAACAAACACACCAAAGCACAUCUCAGAAAAGUGUUUUUGAGGUCACCUCUACGGGUUUUUUUUUGGUUGGGCGACAGCACUGAGCUCGAAGCCAAGUCAGGGAGGAGCCUUCCCUCGCAGAGAGGAGCCGGUGGCCUGGUCGGCCCAGGCAGAGGGGGGCACUGGAGGGGUGGAAAGGUUCGGGGGCGGAGAGGGAAAGACACAUUUGCUGUACAGCUGGCCGCUCUGUGUGAAGCAGGCACUGUGGGCCGUUACAGAGCAGGAGACGAGAGCGAGCGAGAGGCCUUUAGCUCUCCUCUAGCUUCUCCUCCUCCUCUCUGUUCUCUCGGCCUCCCCCCUUCUCUCCGUCCACUAUCUCUCCAUUUCCCCCUUCCUCACUAUCUAGCCCUCACAUUUACAUAUUAACUGAGCUCCAACCUGGCAAAAACACUGUGUUGGCUGUGAGUGGGGGAACAGACAGGAGGCACACUGUAACAGUAUUUGAAGCUGAAAGCCUUGUUGUCUUUCUUGCUAAGGGCUGCAAAUUAUCCUUGACACAUAUCCUCUUGUCUUGAGCCCCAAGAGCAACUUGGCCCGUGUAUGUUGAUUACAUGGUCUCCAUCACUGUCUCUGCCCUUGUGGCAACACAUUUACUUCUCCAUUAGGCAUAUUUUCUUUCUCCUGGUGCGCCAACAGAAUAUGGUAUUUUUCGCCCCUUUGUUUCUUUUCCUAUAAUCCUCUUUGAUUAGAUACGUCUGAUGGUGUUCCCUCAGUUUCUGGGACUCAUUCAUAGAGCACAUACACAUGUAAUCUGCUAACAAACAUGGCCAAGCACUCCUCAUUUGACUCCUAGGGGGCUGGAUCAGAGUCAGAACUCAAUAGAGAACAGGGCACAUGAACAGAAUCAAUCUUAUGAAAUAAAUAAGAGAACAAGCUUGGACCAGCCUGUGGAAACAAAGGAAACCAUGCGUGCCAUAUACUGUGUCUGAUAUCUGCCUGCUUUUAUUAAUUGGUGAUUAAUAACACCUCUCUGUUCGUUAGCGCAGUCACCUCCCGUGCAGCCAAGUGUGUUGCUGCUAAUAUGCAAUUAUGCGCACCUUACUGCUCGUUACAUUAUACCUCUCUCUGACUAAUGUGGCAUCCAUGAGGAGAAUAAAAAACAGAGUGAGCUGUGGAAAAAGAGCUAUCAAUAAGCUAAGAUUCUCACAUUCGCAGUGUUACCCGACUGUCUGGGUGGAAAACAAAAAAAAAAAAAGAGAAGUUUCUUACAGAUUCCUCAAUGCAACCAGGAGACUGCAUUAAAAGUUUUACAGCAUUGCAGAGACUGUUUUGCUCUUUCUGGUGUUUUUGUUGUAAAGCACAGGUAAUUGACAUCACCAUGGGGAUGCUCUGUUGCUAGGCCAGACAAGCUCGGUCUGAUGUGGUCCUUAUCUAUUGAUUUUCCUGACAUUUCCCCACACCUCACAGACUAGGCCAACAUGUGAGAAAAUAUCUGAUGCUCUCAGUUCAUACAGCCUGUUUGUACAAACUCCGGGCGAACACUCGCUGCCCCUUACUGCAUCGUAAUUGGUAGGUUGAUGUCGCCAUGGUGAUUUGGGGCGAAUUCCGUCCAGCUAUUGGCUGCACUGAGCCCGUUGGUUGGGUGUAGUAUAAACUGUAACCUGCGAGCCACAUUACAGAUUAGUAUAAACCCUACAACUUAUCUCUGAAUGUAAACUUGUCUCUUCAUCAUGGAUCCACUGGCAUGCUCUUAAUAUCAACCUAAGUCUAGGUGGGGACUUGGGUGAUCUAAAUAGAGGUACUAGACUCUUCCUGUGCUUUCCGGCCAUGUUUUAUUGAUAUAAAGGAAGAAUGUUUCCUUUCGAGUCUUAAUGCCAACCCUUGUUCUGAAGUGAAGCCCAUAAAUACUGGAUGAUCAGAAUUAACCUCUGCAUUACUUUACCUCCCUGCGGUCUCUAAGAUGUCACCAAGGCCGUAGGUGCACGCGUAGCACUGCUCUGAUGGGGUUGCUUAGCAGUCUGGCUGGAGGGGGUCUUAUGGGAGAAGUGCAAACAGACAGUCCUGCCUUAGUAAAGGUCAGCGCUGCAACCCACACCUCUCAAAUCCCAGGCUGGCCCAGAUGGGACCAGAGUUCCGUGCGUGCCUAGAGAUGCUUGUGGUAAGGGAGAAUUAAGUUACAGUGAGAGCAGAGUGGGGCUCUAAUGCAGAACCGCAUUGCAUUUAGAGGUUGUCAUCACCAAUACGAGUGCGACUGAUGUGAUCUAACUUUGUGUUAUGGCUUUAUGCGAUGUGUUUUUGUAGUGACAUGCACACCAAGACACCGGUAGCUCCGAACAGAAAAGAGUUUCAGUGCCGGUGACAAAAUUGUUGUCCUUCUAUCCUGUGAUGACGUUAGGGUUCGUAGGCGCAGAGAGGUUCAAUUCAAUACGGGGUCCAAACGAGCGCGGCAAAAGUUUUAGCCCUCUUUGUGGAACACAAUGGUGGUUUUACAAAGUACCAUGUAACGAAUGACUAUCCUCAUCGAACUUUGGCUGCGUGAAUGGCAGACAGGGGAGGAGAGGGGAGGGCGAUCGGGUUCUGAAAGGCCCCCCAGCGUCAAAGCCUUAAUAAUCAUGUGAGCAGCGCUGGACUUCAUUACCCUCCUGUUCGACAGGCCGAGUGCCAGGCUGGAUUGCUGGCUGGCUGUGGCAAGGUCAACGGCGGAGGAAAAACCAGUUACUGUGUUACUCUGGAGCGGAAUGGAGAGGGGCGGCCAUCUGUCAGCUCAGGCCUGCCAUACCCGCAGAGCAAAUGGACACGGGCGGCUAGAGGAGAGGCCACAGACACCCAUAGAGCUAAACCCAGUGAGCAUAACACUGAGGCACGGGCACGGAUCGAGCCAAAGAGACGGGCCUUGGUGCUACUAAAACACAUAUAUACACACACACACACACACACACACACACACAGACACACGUAGCGGCGAAGAUAAGGCAAUCUCCAAGAUAUUUGGCAGCAGUUCGUGUGUUUAUGCAUGUUUGUUUUUAGUGUCAGUGCACUACUGGGCCCCUACUGUUGUAAGUCCAGAUGGCAAACCAUUCGAUAAAAAAGUUGAUAAAACUUUAGCCUUGUCUGCCAACGGUAAACAUCUCAAUCAUCAUUUAUUUAUUAAUUUGUUUUAACGAAGGCUAGCACCUUGCGGAUGUAAUCGGCAGCACGGACCGGCUUUUGGCAUCCGGUGUUUUCGUUCCCGUCCACCGCACCCUCCGGUUUUAUCGGUUCACCUUGCUGGCCGUUUGGCAGCGCGCGACUUGCAAAGACCCUCUCUGCGAGGACCUUUACGAUGCCCUUUGGCCAAAGUGGAAGAACCCUGUGGAAUGUUCCAAAGCUCCCUAAUAGGUUUCAGGUGCUGCGGGCCACCAGCCAGCCCCCCCCCCGCCAUCGCCGCGCCCGUCUUGCGAGAUAGAGACUCCCCGCACAACAGCACGCCAUUUCUCCUCUAAAACAAAGAGGGCAGAACUCGCAAAAUGGAAUCGCUGUAAUAUCGCUGUGAUAUUAGGUAAAUUUGUCUAACGCCGAGCCUCCCCUUAACUGCAGCGUUUUCAUAUUUAAUUGCCGGUCCGUGCUGGUUGGAGUUGUAGCAGACACGCAAGUUUGCGUCUCGCUCUUACAUCUCGGCACAGUUAAACUUCCUUGUUGUUUUCCUCCUCCACCGAGAGCACCCCCCCCCCCCCCCCCCCCCCCCCCCCCCCCACCCCCCAGCUGGAGCGUCAACACGCUCCGGAAGACAGGGAAGGGGAGAUGGUCCUGGGCGAUUCCCCUCCGCAUUAAUGGAAAUCACACAGGAACUCCCUGGAUGAAAGCUCUAUUCGUUAUUAAGGUUUAAUGUUGAUAUCGGUGCUUAUAUGUUUACUGAAGUGCACAGUGCUGCCGAUGUCGAAUUGUCAGAGAGGUGCAGUUUUAGUAAGGAAUUAGUGCACACCCAGGAUUUAAUUAAGGGGAUCUGUUUCCAUCUUGUUAGAAAGAGAUAAUGUGAGUACUGCAUGCAUCACAGGUUACUAUAUUAAAUGCUUCUUCCUGUAACAGUAUUAUAUCCACUACAGCGGCGCUUCUAGAUUAUGGGAUGGAAACAACAUGCUAUAUUCGAGUGGGAGCAACUCUCUGCUCAUUAGUGCCUUUUAUUGUCUGCUUUGCAUCCCCUUCUUGUCAUAUGCAGCCACGUUGAAAGGAGGAAAAAGUCACAGGUACAGUACAAGAGAUAAAAUGGUUACACCUCCACUCUUUUCAUGUGACUUGUUUCAUUUGCGGCGUGACAGCGGAGUGUGAACACCGAGGCGACGUGGCCUCUUUGUCUCUCCAUUUGUCCCACCACCGCCUAGAGACGUAAACCUUAAGCCACUCGCUCUCUGAUUAAUUUUUAACAUUUAUAAUUACUAAUUAAGUUAGUAAGAGACUUUUAAUGUAGUCCUCCUUCAAUGGGGAGCAGAGAGGACAACAGAUCAUUAGCUUCAAUAAUGAACGCGGAUGAGACAGAUAAUGGCCUGUGAUAGGUGAAUACUGACAGUUAUAUUAAAUGGGGUGAGCGUAUGGAAAGUAGCACUUCAUAUUGUAAAAGGAAGCAGGAAGACAAGGUGGUGAAGUAGCCCACUAACUCCAGACAGACCUUACGCGGCGUGGAAAUCUUCAGGGUAGUUCGGACUAAUUAAAAUCCGUCAUGCAGCCGCGUUUACAUUAGCGUAUGUUCCCUAUAAUGUGUGGCUGCCACGGUAAUUGCGUCAACCUUAGCUCCAUGCACGGGUUUUAUUUAUUCAUUCACACUGUUUUUAUGAAGUUUUUGGUCUCCCUAAUGUCUUUGGUGUAUCUCAUUAUCACAUUAUUACAUUAGUGUCUGCAUUAUUCUGGUGGCUGUAAGUUGCUGCCCAUUAAAAGAGUCAUUUCAUCUCCCGUUUUUUUUUUUUUUAUACCUUAACGACGAUGCUACUCUGGCACAUUCCGUGCGCCUUCCCACUUUGGGGAAGGUGCUUAUGCCAUAAUGAUUAUUAUCAUUAAGAAGAUAUUAAUGUGCUUAGUGUUUGCGACCCAGCUGCUCAUCAUGGCCUGAGCUCCCUGCCGGGGAGGGAAGCGAGCCGCUGCCAAAACGGACAGUGCGCGCAGGCCACCGCCCACCUGUCCAGAGGUUUCAGGGUCGGUGGAGGUCACACCUACCUCCCUCCCUGCCCUCUGCUCAACUGGAGGAGGAAGGAAAUUGGAGGAGGUGAAUUUGAAGUGAAGUUUAAAGUGUUUAAAACGCCAGCAUCCCCGUUGUACUCUCAGAACGGAUUCAUGCGACGUAAUUAUUGAUAUAGUGUUAAUGCCACACAUCACAUAAUACUAGGCCUUUUUUCAGUUUUGCAAUUUCCUAAAAUUUGUUUAGCUUCUUUAAUUGUAAUAAACAGAUAAAAUCAGGGUCCCACCAAAUCUCUAAUUAUUUUUGUCACAGCUGAGGGACCGCUGUGUGUUUUGAUGCUGCAGAUGCACACAGAUAACACAGACGACAGGCAGGCGUGGGGAUGGUGUGGGGCAUGAAGGCAGCCUGGCUCAGCCUCAUCCAGUCUCUCAGUUUCAAAUUGCUGCUUCAUUAGGGUUUGGAAAAGAAACCCUUGGUUACAUUUAAUCAAACGAAUUGCUGUGGCAGACCCACAUAAUCAAUCACAAUCCUUAUCCAAUAUGCUACAUUCUGUACCUACCAAGCUGGUUUGGAGAAAAGUCAAUUAUGGCCCCUCUCUCUGCUCCUCUGCUGGGUUCACUGUGAUAUUAUACUGUUUCUGCAGUUGUUUUCAUUAUGCAAACAUAGACUGUGUGCUAUCGCAAACAUACAGCUAUUUCAUAUUCAUACGUACUGCUAGUCUGUUUUUUCCCCUUUAUACCGGUAUUUGUUGUAUGAUACAUGGACUGGGGGGGUUUGUUGUAUGUAGUAUGUGCCAUAUCUGGAAUGAUCCAAUUAACAAUUAAUGAUCGUUUCGAACUGGGCCUCAGUCAGUAAUGCCUUUCAUAUUUCAUGUUCCGUGUCCAAAUGCCUCUGUUUUUCACUGUCUGUGUAUGAAAUCGCUUGUCUCCACAGAUGUUCUAACCCACAUCCGCGAGGAGAUGCAUGUGAAUGUAAAUAAAUAUGCACACACUGCGCAACCAGGCGCCUCCCCAAUCACACGCAGCCCCUGUAAACACGCUCAGCCACUGUACACACACUCGUCACUGCACCUUUUCCUCGUCUUGUGGGUUCUUCCUCCGUACCUUUCCACUUUAGCCCUCAGCCUCGUAUGCAGCGAACGCGCUCCGCAUAAUUCGCCCUAGCACCAGCCUACACACACACACAUACACACACACACACACACACACACACACUCACACUCACACUCACACACACACACACACACACACACACAAGGUAGCUAGGUUGGUGGGGGCCAUGGCUGCAGCUCCUCUGCGCAGUCCCAGAGUGGCUCCCGGGGCUCGGCUGCCAGUUGUUUGCCGGCGUCUCCGGGUGGAAUUCAUUCAAAUUAAAGCGGUGGAAUGAGGCCCGAGUCCCAGAAUGCCUCGUCCCUCUCCUUCAUCAGCAUUCCGCCGAUGAGAGUAAUUAAAGCAGAAAUUAAUUCUGCUGUAAGCAGAGGAGCCACAGAAUAACUGAUAUUAGAGGCUGGAUGAUGAAUGCUUGGCAUCAAGGGAUGUCUCAGGGGAGGAAGAGGAAAUUCACAGAUCUCUUUCUUUCUUUCUUUCUUUCUUUCUUUCUUUCUUUCUUUCUUUCUUUCUUUCUUUCUUUCUUUCUUUCUUUCUUUCUUUCUUUCUUUCUUCUUUCUUUCUUUCUUUCUUUCUUUCUUUCUUUCUUUCUUUCUUUCUUUCUUUCUUUCUCUCUUUCUCUCUUUCUUUCUUUCUCUUUCUUUUCCUCUUUCCCUCUUUCCCUCUUUCUCUCUUUCCUUCUUUCUUUCCCUUUUUCCUUCUUUCUUUUCAUCCCUCUUUAAAUGUUUAUUGUUCAACUUUAUAAACCUAUCGGUGUCUGCUUACCUCUUCUCAUCUUUCUAUUGCGAUCAUCCUCUGUGGCAAUGUUUGUCCUUCUCCACAGCCUGAAUCUCACUGCAUACCAUACAGCUAAUGCCCCUGACUUUAAGCAUGACUGAAGACAUCACCACUAGGCCUCGUCUCCCAGUAACAGUAUUUCACAUUCUGUCAGCGCGGGUGCGGUCGUUUUUAGUCAACAGGCAAAUUAGAGUGUACUGAUGCUGGAAAUGCUCAUGCUUUGUUGUCAGUAAACAGACACCAAGCUGCAGCAUGCUUCCAGGUGACUUUCGAAUGCCAAGGGUCUAGUGUUUAGUGUUACGCCAAAUUAAUUAAUAAUCAGAAUGUAAGCAGCCAUGUUACUGAAAGUACGGUUAUUAAAUCUGUAUAUAAAGCAGCUUGGAGUUAGGCUCGGCAUUUUAUUCUCUCAAAAUUUGAGACUAAACCUUGAAGAUCUCCAGAUGAUGUGAUAUUCUACCCAGGAUGAUUCAAUGAUCCCCCACGUCCCCUGACACUUUAUUUUUGGAAUAGCACAUCUUUAGCAGGAGCAGUCACAAGACUGAAAGACAAACAACUGAGCGCUUAAAACACUGAGGCUGGAUGAGGCUGUCAGUGAGGCUGUUUUCCUCUUUUACAAUCAAAUGGAAUUGAACAAAGGUUAGCUCUUUAGGGCUUUAUGCUAAUGUGAUAUACGAUGCUGCCAUGGAAUUUGCCAAUGCAUGUCUUAGCACUGUCUGACUCUAAGGAAGGAGUGAAUGGUAAUUAUGCUGACCUCUGCCCCUCCCUCUCUCAUUCUGCCCUCUGGGUAAAAAGCCUGAGGAUAUAAUAAACAAUAGAUAGAUUUGUCUUGUUUGUACCGCAGCUGACGGUCUCUUAAUGACACACAGGAACGGUCUCUAUUUUAUAAAAAAAUAUAAAAUACAACGCAUGGCAGGAUCAGCAGGUAGUCGUGAUGCAUUGUUAAUUGGUUUGUGCAAGAAUAUCUCAAUCUGAUGUAAAUUAAUGGAAGCUCAACCCCAGAGUUACUCGCAGGUAUUAAGAAUUUAGCAGGUUGAAACACAGAAUGAAUGAUUAGCAACCGCACAUUACAGCUGGAAUGCAGAGGGGCAGAUCGGCGGCAGAGCGGACCUGUUGAUGAGGCCACAGUGAGAAGACUUAAGAGAAGCCUGGUCAGAGAAAUGGUUUUGUCCCUGCUUCCAACUCAAAAACUGGGAUUUUUAGUCUUAGCGCAAAGUGUUAAAAUAAAUGAUGUGUUAAACCUUAAAAGCUGUGUUCAGUACAGGAGACGAUUUAAAUUGGAGGAUAUUGAAGUGAAUCUCAGAAAAUUUGGAGAUAUGAAAGAUAUUCCACCCCCAACCUUCCAUGUCAUUUGGUUGUUUCUGGUGCCGGUCUCCUUCUCCCGUUUUUUAUCCUUUGAAAAGAUGAUAUAAGGCACGAGGCAGAAAUAGUAAUCAUAUAGUAACGGAUUUGCUUCUAAAUAAUUUAGUAAUGGUGGCUUUUUAUAGACACAUGGUUUACCUAUGGAGCUCGCUAAAAGCUUGGUACUUAGCAGCAAUUCUCAGACUCUAUCUCUACAGUGGAUCAUGUUGCUGUAUGAUGUUUCUCUCCAUCAUUCGGAAUGGCAUCGCCGUCAUGAACGGGCCGGCCGUAUCUUGAUGUCUGCCGUCCUGGAAAUGGCGGCAGGCACUGUUUGUUUGUCUACUUUGUUCCAUACACCAAUAAAAAAUACACUCAAAAUGAAACCUUGGUGUAACGAUGACCUUAAACGCAAUGACACUCUUUCCCAUAACAUUGUCCUGUCCAAUAGUCCAGAACUCCCCUAAGAGGCCUUACAGCAAGUCUAGGAGGAACCAAAUGAGAGAGAAAUCGAUUACUUUCCUCUCUCCACUGUCUCUGUCCUGGCUGAAUUACUGAAACAAGAUGCUGCACUUAGAGAAGUCUUUGGAGAGGGAGAAGGAGAGAGAGGGAGAGAGAAACACUUUUAGGGACAUGGGUGCCAUUUAGACCAGGACCAUCUUCUCACAGAAAGCCACUAAAAGCAGGGAGCGAUCCUCUUCCUGUCCCCGGCUGGGAGGCGGUUAGCCUCCUGUGGUUAAGUGAAUACAGAAUAUACUCUCAGGUUUGAGGUCAAAGCAGGAUCAUUAACAAGAAUAUUAAUUUCUGGAGUCGAAGCGGGGCAUCGGUUCCACAGCCACGUGAGUGUAUCGGCUGUGGAGCGUUCACGCCCGGCUGCAUUGGACGAGGCCUCACGCAUCCAAUCAGAUGUUGUUUUCAGACUUCCUAAUGUCAAAUGGGUGUUGUUUAACAUCCACACCAGGUUUUAUUGUCUGAACUAUGAAGAUGAAAAUGAAUCCCGCUCGUUUGGUAGACAGAACGUGGUGCUUAAGGGACCCAAUCCCUGUAAGUGCCAUUAAGUGGAAAUUGCCGUUCACAUAUUCCAGUGGUUUGAUUAAUUACACUCUCUCAUGUGCUUUCAUAAAGGCCCAAUGAAAUAUGGGGAGCAAAUUGCAUUGUGUUCCUGUAUCCUGUUAUGUAAAAGCAGUUUAAUUAUUGACACAUGUUUUGCCACCUGGCAGGGGGAAAGACGCUCGGACAUGAAUAGAAAUCAUACAAUAGAUAUUAUGGGUGAGUGGAGCUCGCACUUCAGAUGCCAUGUGUUUCUGCGACGCGGUUCGCCGUCCCCCCGUCCCCGCCUCCUUUCCAGCUCGCCUGCCAAAUAAGGGCAAAGAGUAGCCGCGAUCAGCUGGAUGUGUCACAGUUGUAAGGGAAACAUUUUGCGAAAGCGACUGCACUUUAAAACCUGUUUAACUCGGUGCAGCAGGACGGCUCUCCGAAAGGUCUCCUCUGAUAAAUAUGUAGUUAAGGAGAUAUUUUGUGAAGGCUGCGCGGUAUCUCUCGGGGAUUAAAAGAUCACCGCUGCCUUUGUGUGAUAUCUUAAGAUAGCUCUUUUUGAUCAGAGUGCAGGCUUAGAUGCUGCGUAGUCACUGACACGCCAGUACGUUGAACUCAGGGAACGCAACGCAGGGAGACAACAAGCACAUUAGCAUGUUAAAAUAUCCUUCUUCCUUUAUGUUUUUUCUUUUUUUUUGUUUUUUUUUCUAAAACAGUGCCCUCUACUGCCGUGAAUACCUAAUGACAGGGUGCCAGGGCACUGCAUCCCUUCUGUUGUAGCCUGUAGUACUUAGGCUUCACUCUAUUCAGUAUUCUGCAGUGUAUGUGGAGGUAUUAGCUCAUAAAACCCUCCUACUGUCACAUGAACCCACUGCUGUCCCAGAGCUCUAUAUGAACAGCAGGGUUCUGAUACUUAGUCCCAAGCUGUUCCUGUUUGCCCAAAACGAUCAGGCCUGGCCUCGUGCUCUCUACCUGAUCUAGUUGACUGGGCUGUGUAAGUUAGGUAGGCAGUCCCUGUCUCCGUCCCCCUCCUCCCUCCCAAUAUGCACUUGGACCCGGGCUCAGGCUGCACCUUUUGUGUUCCACAGGGAUAGCGGAGCCAGAUGGAGGAAUUUGAUUAACCAGCAGUGGAGGACCAAAUGUUCAAUUGGAUACAGAACCAGUUGGAAGGCGGGAGGGAGCGAGGGAUGAGGCGGGGUAGAGGGAGAAAUCUAAAAUGGCUGGUCAUGUGCGCUGGCCAACACUUUCCAAAGGGGAGCCCAAACAGACACUGAGGUGUAGUAAUGCAGAAGCCCUUUUCCAAGUACCAGCUGGGCCUUUUAGGAGCCUCUAUCCCCACAGCAGACACUCGGCAGCCUCCGAGCAGCUUGACUUUACCAUAUGUGGAACUUUUUUAUGCUCCACCUGGUUUCCCCGGGGGACCUGUGCCGCUGGGACGCCGGAGGCAGGUGAAUUGCUCUUAAUGCAAGGCACUGAAUCACUGGGCCAACAACAUGAGGGAAGAGCCUAGGGAGAGGAAAUGGAUCUGCAGAAAUACUGGCGCGGACUGGCGCGACCUUGGAGCUUGUGCCCACCACAGAGCAGAAAGUGGCUAUGAAACAUGUCACUGUGCUUUUACUCUAAUAAAAUUCACACUUUACACAAAAGUGUGGGCUUCA
Betta splendens (Siamese fighting fish) is the source of this 17851-nucleotide RNA transcript. It is a transcript of the gene named zinc finger protein 521-like, with no coding region annotated. The record is from RefSeq and is a predicted model, not a curated record. The transcript is spliced from 8 exons. NCBI's taxonomy places the organism in Eukaryota, Metazoa, Chordata, Actinopteri, Anabantiformes, Osphronemidae.